UACGUAUGGUGCAAGCGUUAUCCGGAUUUACUGGGCGUAAAGGGAGCGCAGGCGGCGCGCCAAGUCUGAUGUGAAACCCCGGGGCUCAACCCCGGGCAUGCAUUGGAAACUGGCGGGCUGGAGUGCCGGAGAGGCAAGCGGAAUUCCUAGUGUAGCGGUGAAAUGCGUAGAUAUUAGGAGGAACACCAGUGGCGAAGGCGGCUUACUGGACGGCAACUGACGCUGAGGCUCGAAAGCGUGGGGAGCAAACAGG
RNAcentral lists this ribosomal RNA (253 nucleotides) under uncultured bacterium. RNAcentral's name for it is "partial 16S ribosomal RNA". It matches the Rfam family "Bacterial small subunit ribosomal RNA", at positions 524 to 776 of the family's 1533-position model. The record is from RNAcentral.